RNAcentral lists this non-coding RNA (34 nucleotides) under synthetic construct. The record is from RNAcentral.
GAGCCGUGUGCGAUGAAAGUCGCAAGCACGGUUC